This 131-nucleotide ribosomal RNA is filed under the name Carlito syrichta (Philippine tarsier). The record is from RNAcentral. Lineage: Eukaryota; Metazoa; Chordata; Mammalia; Primates; Tarsiidae.
GUCUACUGCCAUAUGACCCUGAAUAUGUCCAAUCUCGUCUGAUCUCAGAAGCUAAGCAGGGUCAGGGUUGGUUAGUACUUGGAUGGGAGAAAUAUAUAUUUAUUUUCUGCCCCCAGUUCCUGGCAUAGAGC